UUGGAAGAUCUUGCGUCUGUGUCAUAUUCUCCUGGUGCCUGAGGAAUGAACCCUUCACACUGGAAGUGUUUUGUCUGUGUGAUGCUCAGAUGUGAAUUUGUGUCAACUAUCCUUCAAAGCCUGUUCCAAGUAGAUCUGUAACAGCUGCCAGAAGGGCUUGAGAUGUCUGGAAGAUCUUUCAUCCUUCAAGCUUCCUCUCCUGAAGAUCUCUAGAACUUCAACUUCACUGCCAAAGCAAAUUUAUCUCCACUCAUCAGACGCUGAUCCUCUUCUUCUUGUCAUUGACGAUUAAACCUACAGCAUGACACAAAUGUUACCAUGUUGCAGUUCUUUAAACUAUACAGCCCUAUAUAAGUAAACUCAUU
Long non-coding RNA from Spea bombifrons (plains spadefoot toad), 365 nucleotides. RefSeq lists it as uncharacterized. NCBI's taxonomy places the organism in Eukaryota, Metazoa, Chordata, Amphibia, Anura, Pelobatidae. The transcript has 3 exons. The record is from RefSeq and is a predicted model, not a curated record.